RNAcentral lists this ribosomal RNA (667 nucleotides) under Bdellovibrio sp. R0. Its description in RNAcentral is "bacterial SSU rRNA". It matches the Rfam family "Bacterial small subunit ribosomal RNA", at positions 116 to 798 of the family's 1533-position model. The record is from RNAcentral. Lineage: Bacteria; Pseudomonadati; Bdellovibrionota; Bdellovibrionia; Bdellovibrionales; Pseudobdellovibrionaceae.
CGUGGAUAAUCUGCCUUAGAGUGGGGGAUAACUAGUCGAAAGAUUAGCUAAUACCGCAUAAGACCACAGUAGCUGCGGCUAUAGGGGUCAAAGGUUUUUCGCUCUAAGAUGAGUCCGCGUAAGAUUAGCUAGUUGGUGAGGUAACGGCUCACCAAGGCGACGAUCUUUAACUGGUCUGAGAGGAUGAUCAGUCACACUGGAACUGAGACACGGUCCAGACUCCUACGGGAGGCAGCAGUAGGGAAUAUUGCACAAUGGAGGAAACUCUGAUGCAGCGACGCCGCGUGAGUGAUGAAGGCCUUCGGGUCGUAAAGCUCUGUCGCAGGGGAAUAACACAAUGAAGGUACCCUGUAAGAAAGGAUCGGCUAACUUCGUGCCAGCAGCCGCGGUAAGACGAGGGAUCCUAGCGUUGUUCGGAAUCAUUGGGCGUAAAGCGGGUGUAGGUGGCUUUGUAAGUCGAGUGUGAAAGCCUGGGGCUCAACCCCAGAAGUGCAUUCGAUACUGCGAAGCUUGAGUGGUAGAGAGGUUAGUAGAAUUGUUGGUGUAGUGGUGAAAUACGUAGAUAUCAACAGGAAUACCGGAGGCGAAGGCGGCUAACUGGCUACACACUGACACUCAGACCCGAAAGUGCGGGGAUCAAACAGGAUUAGAUACCCUGGUAGUCCGC